UACGUAGGUGGCAAACGUUAUUCGGAAUUACUGGGCUUAAAGAGUUCGUAGGCGGCGCAACAAGUGGGGUGUGAAAGCCCUCGGCUCAACCGAGGAAUUGCGCUCCAAACUGUUGUGCUUGAGGGACCUAGAGGUGAGCGGAACUGAUGGUGGAGCGGUGAAAUGCGUUGAUAUCAUCAGGAACACCGGAGGCGAAGGCGGCUCACUGGGGGUCUUCUGACGCUGAGGAACGAAAGCCAGGGGAGCGAACGGG
This 253-nucleotide ribosomal RNA is filed under the name uncultured bacterium. Its description in RNAcentral is "partial 16S ribosomal RNA". It matches the Rfam family "Bacterial small subunit ribosomal RNA", at positions 524 to 776 of the family's 1533-position model. The record is from RNAcentral.